GCAGUGUUAUAUUGGCAGAUCCGUAGCAUCACCACCUUGAAUAGGAAGCUAGAUCUACCUUCCCGAUAACGGCGCCUUAUUACCGUUAGGGUAGGGUUCCAGUUCUUAAUCAUGGUAGUGGCACUAGGAUUGCCAUGUUAGUAUUCCUUAACAAGUCACUAGCUCGGCGCAUGUCUAGCAACAGUGUUAAGUAUAUACCGGGGUGAUAGUUCCUUAGGUUUGGAGUUUAAGUACCGCAAGCGGACGGGAAUUAUCGUGUAGCAUUUCAACCCGGGGAUUUACCGAGUGUCGUAUUUAUAGGUUCGCUCUAAGGAAGGCUUAAUAUGUUAAGGAUUCUAAGAUAAGCAUAGAUCAAAGUAAUUAUAAUAGCAAUAAUGGAAUCAAAAGUCAUAGCAGGUGAUAAACAUUUAUAUGUAGAAUAGUGAUCCAUCAUAAUCUAGGCAUGGCAUAUGGCUAAGGAAUAAAAAGAGACUAAAAGAAUGAAUUGAAUCAAAGAAUAAACAAACAACCUAUUGGAGCAGGUGUGGUCCUAGAUACAGAUCAUGUCAUAGAACAAGUUAAUCAUGUAACUAUACUACUUAGAUCUAGUCCUGUGUUU
This 598-nucleotide long non-coding RNA is filed under the name Sorghum bicolor (sorghum). RNAcentral describes it as "long non-coding RNA (SBIC_LNC014188)". The record is from RNAcentral. Lineage: Eukaryota; Viridiplantae; Streptophyta; Magnoliopsida; Poales; Poaceae.